CGCCUUGCCAGCCCGCUCAGAAACUCAAAGGAAUUGACGGGGGCCCGCACAAGCGGUGGAGCAUGUGGUUUAAUUCGAUGAUACGCGAGGAACCUUACCUGGGCUCAAAUGUAUGUUGACGUAUUCUGAAAGGGAUACUUCUUCGGACAAUAUACAAGGUGCUGCAUGGUUGUCGUCAGCUCGUGCCGUGAGGUGUCGGGUUAAGUCCCAUAACGAGCGCAACCCCUAUCAUUAGUUGCCAUCAGGUCAAGCUGGGGACUCUAAUGAAACUGCCUACGCAAGUAGUGAGGAAGGUGGGGAUGACGUCAAAUCAGCACGGCCCUUACGUCCAGGGCUACACACGUGCUACAAUGGCCGGUACAAAGGGCAGCUACCUGGUGACAGGAUGCUAAUCUCAAAAGCCGGUCUCAGUUCGGAUCGGAGUCUGCAACCCGACUCCGUGAAGUUGGAGUUGCUAGUAAUCGCGAAUCAGAAUGUCGCGGUGAAUGCGUUCCCGGGUCUU
This 502-nucleotide ribosomal RNA is filed under the name uncultured Sphingobacteriales bacterium. RNAcentral describes it as "bacterial SSU rRNA". It matches the Rfam family "Bacterial small subunit ribosomal RNA", at positions 903 to 1382 of the family's 1533-position model. The record is from RNAcentral. Lineage: Bacteria; Pseudomonadati; Bacteroidota; Sphingobacteriia; Sphingobacteriales.